This 1758-nucleotide long non-coding RNA is filed under the name Daphnia magna. RNAcentral describes it as "uncharacterized LOC116928777". Lineage: Eukaryota; Metazoa; Arthropoda; Branchiopoda; Diplostraca; Daphniidae. The record is from RNAcentral.
UAGCUGCAAUGAAAAUUUCUAUCGGGACGCGCGUCCUCGUGUGUGUGUGUUUAGGACAUGCGCCUUUAGUAAACCCUGCCCAAACCCAAAAACACCGCCAAGCUAUUCCCCCCCCCUCUUCGCUACAGCUAGUUAUUUAUUCCACUUUGUGUUUGGACGCAAAACCAUUGCUAAUUCCAGUCAUUUUCCUCCUUUUUCUUUUUCCUAUGAUAUUUGCUCCAAAACGAAAAAAAAAUUUUUUUUAAUGACGUCAUAAUCACCGGUGUUUAUUUAAAUGUCUAUCGGCUACAUCGCGCCCUGACAUUUAGACAGAAAAGGAGGUGGUGAGCGUUGAACAAAAAAAGAAAUCCUAAGCGGUGCAGGUAAAAAAAAAAUAUAUAGGUGAGGGAUUGGAACGAUUAUAAAGGUACGGGCUGAAUGCAUAUAGAAGUUUGAUGGAGCCAGUGAAACCCUUCGACCUCAUCCGCGCCGCUCCAACAAAUGGAAUUAUCUGUUGAGAAAGCUGAUGGAAAGACAACAACAACAACAACAACAAAAAAGGGCCUUGGCGCAAGGACAAAUCCACUUCGUAUGGGGGAAUAUAAAUAGUAAACUUUAGAAGCCUCGGCUACAAAAGAAAAAAUCCAUUUUUUUCUGUUUCUAUACAAGAGGGUCAAUGACAUCAUUCGAUAUGCGUGUAACGGGCGGACGACUGGCCAGUUUACAAAAAAAAAGGACGACGGGUGGUGGUUCCCAUCCGGUCGCCUUCUUUUUCGUGAGAGAGAAAACGAAUAGAAAAAAACAAAAAAAACUCGAAAUCGAGAAGCGGAAGGAUCCAGUUGGCCACACCAAGGGCAGUACAGCCUGUGUGAUUUGUUUUUUUCCUCGUCCCCAAAGAACCACAGACUCCCGCGCCAUUCACGUUCUCUACAUUUGAGUAUCAACAGAUAGAGUCGUAAAAAAAAACAAGAAACGAAAAAAUACGAAAAACACGAAUGUUCGUUAGCAAGGACCCAAAGACGAACAAAGAAGAAACAAUCAAACAAGUUCUUCCCAUUUAAGUAUUUUACGAACGUGAUUGUUAUCGUGGCAAAAAAAAAAAGAAAAAGGGCAGACGAAGAUUCGUGAAAAAAAAAGGAGCGACUCAUCGAGCCACGAGAACUGGUUUCUUGUAUUAAAUGGCACGGAAUAAGAAAAAACGGUAAAGUAGCCCACAUUUUGACGUUAGGUAAUAUGCAAAGACCUCACACACACGCAAACACAUUCACAGUGUGUCCAAGCAUAUUGAAUUGAAUUUGACACCGCCCAGUCACGCCCUCGAUCGUGAAUGGCCCGUAUACACUCAAUCUAAACCGACAACAACAAUGUGAAUUUCAACAAAACAACACAGAAUGACCUGCUGCUAAAUAGCCAAUCAUCGAGUAUUGCCUAGCAAACAAAACCAUUGUCCGGCUGAUGAACGGGAGAAAGAAAAAAGGAAAGCAAAUGGAAUGUAAAAAAAAAACAAAAGAAAGAAAAAUUUUUUGUUUUGAGAAAAAGGGCCGAAGGGCUGCCAUUGAAAACGUCCGACAUUGCUACAUCUCGGUUUUAUUAUUAUUUGCCUUUUAUCUCUUUUUAUUCAGUCACACCUUGUUAAUAAAACUGAAACGUCACUUGUUUUUCUCUCGCUCGAUUCUUUUUUUCAAAGUUACGUUCACUGUGCGAGCGUAGGAAGAUUGUUAUACAUUCCGUCCAUCCAUGAACACCUAAUGUAUCGGAUCGCCGUUGCGGUUCUACUUG